Onthophagus taurus is the source of this 1149-nucleotide non-coding RNA. The record is from RefSeq and is a predicted model, not a curated record. NCBI's taxonomy places the organism in Eukaryota, Metazoa, Arthropoda, Insecta, Coleoptera, Scarabaeidae.
ACGACAUAUUAUUUAAAUUUGGUUUAAAACACUUCCAGUUAACUGCACGUAAUCGAAUUACGGAGAUUUAGUUGGAUUCGCAAACUUUCCAGGAACAAAACUUCAAACAGUUCAAACAACUACCAACAACAACAACAUGAUUAAUAUGUUAGAAACACUAUCAAAAUAAUCUAUCUACUUACUCGAAUUGCAGCAAUAUUUAAUAAGAUAAUAAUAAAAAUAAAAUUUAUGAUUUACUUUAUUAGGGACAAUUUAUUGUUGGCGAUAAAUCUAAAAAUCAAUAUAAAUUGUAACGCAACACUAAGAAAGGAAAUCGAUUUGGUUAACGAUCCUUUUUAUAAAAGCUAAAAAAACUUAAACUUUUUCAUCAGUUGAAGAGGUUUAUCAGAAUGAUUGUAGUACUACUCUUUUCGUAUAUCUUAAUAAAUAGUGUCAUUUUUGGUGAUAAUGAAUCUGAAGAACCCGUAGUGAGACUUAUGAACAACGUAAUAAGAACCGAUACCUCCGACAUAAGAAACGUCGCAAUUGAUAAUAAAGCGAACAUGAACUACUCACUAUACAGAGAAAUCCCUAAAAAGGACCCAAAAUGCGUUUGCCUUGUGAUUUGUGCAUGCUUUUGAUUUAUGUUACCAAUAAACGAAGAAAUUAAUUAAUUCGAAACCACAAUUUUCUUUUAAACAAUACCAUAUUAACUUUCUUAAAUUAAUCGGAAUUAAUUAAGGAUUAAUAAAAUUAAUAUGUCGAAAACGAAUAUAUAAAUUCGUUAUUGGCGGUUAAAAAAAUGUUUAAUUAAAGAUUUUUAAGUCGUACCUAAAUCGAAAAUGUCGAAAAUUACAACUUUGAUAAUUUGUUUUGUACAUGUAAGUGGUUUAAAAAGAAAAAGUUUCUUUAAAAAAAAGUUAUUUCUUUAAGAUUAUUUUAGUAAACAGCCGCCCGGAACCCAACAACGAAGUUGAACAACGUAUUUUACACACCAACAUUCACAAUGAUACCAGCCAAGGCGGAAAUUUGUUUUUUAAAAAUGACGGGAACGCAAAAGGUACCAUAGAAAGAAUUGAAAAUUUCGACAACAGCAAAUGCUUCAGCUUUAUAAUUCGUCUUUGCAUGCCUUAAAAUAAAUUUAUGUCAAUAAAUAAAUAUGAAAAGUAA